This 16714-nucleotide long non-coding RNA is filed under the name Eucalyptus grandis. Its description in RNAcentral is "long non-coding RNA (EGRA_LNC006593)". Lineage: Eukaryota; Viridiplantae; Streptophyta; Magnoliopsida; Myrtales; Myrtaceae. The record is from RNAcentral.
AGGUUUUGUUAGCUUGGAUUGUGGAGGAUCUCAGAGUUUCACUGAUGAGAUUGGGCUUGAAUGGACUCCGGAUGACCAUUUCACCUUUGGAGAAAGAACUAACGUUUCUCUCACGAAUGAGACAAGAACACAAUAUACGACAUUGAGAUACUUCCCAGCCGAUGACAGAAAGUACUGUUACACUUUAAACGUGACCACUAGGACAAGAUACUUAAUAAGGGCGACAUUCUUGUAUGGGGACUUUGACAGCAAUAACGUCUACCCAAACUUUGAGAUCUCCUUGGGACCUACUUUUUGGUCCACAAUUGUCAUUUCUGAUGCCAGUACUAUAGAAGUGCGAGAGCUCAUAUUUCUGGCCUCAGAUCCUACCAUAAGUGUGUGCUUAUCUAAUGCUACCACGGGCAACCCAUUCAUAUCUACCCUUGAGCUUCGUCAGUUCAAUGGUUCGAUGUACUUUACUGGCUUUGAAAACCAGUUCUAUCUCAGUACCUCUGCCCGGAUUAAUUUUGGUGCAGAAAGUGAAGAGCCAGUCAGGUAGAUCUAGAACAUUGUGGAUGUAUUUCUUCUGGCUUUUAUUUCUCGGCUGUUUGACUAGUUUCUCACCAACCUUGUAUUUUAUGAUUCCAGUUUUAAAAGAGUCUAGACUAUGAAUAAGUUGUUUGUCCUUAUUGCUCACAUGCGGUUCUUCUUUGGUAGGUAUCCAGAUGAUCCAUUCGAUAGAAUAUGGGAGUCUGACUCUGUAAAGAGAGCAAACUACCUUGUCGAUGUGGCCUCUGGCACCAAAAAGGUUUCAACCCAAUUGCCAAUUGAUGUUAACCGUGACGAGAGGCCACCUCAAAAAGUUAUGCAGACUGCUGUAGUCGGAACAAAUGGAUCGCUCACUUACCGUUUGAACUUGGAUGGGUUUCCUGGUAAUGGUUGGGCAUAUUCCUACUUUGCAGAAAUUGAAGAUUUGGCUCCCGAAGACACAAGGAAAUUCAGGCUGGUGCUCCCAGGCGCGCCUGAUAUCAGCAAAGCUGUUGUCAAUAUAAUGGAAAAUGCUCAAGGCAAAUAUCGCCUGUAUGAGCCAGGAUUUGAGAACCUAACCCUCCCAUUUGUACUGUCCUUUAGGUUUGGGCGGACAAUAGAUUCUUCAAAGGGUCCACUAUUGAAUGCCAUGGAGAUAAACAAGUAUGUGAAGAAAAUCGAUGGUUCUCCAGAUGGUGGGUCCCUUGAUCAAUUUCCAUUGAGUUUGUUACCGUUUGCAAGAUUGUUGCUAAUGCGAUGAUCAUAUUAUGAUUUAUCACACUUGGUGUGGGCUUGUAGAGCCCUGUUUCUGGCACAUCUAAAUUAUUAUGCUAAAUCCACCCUUUGUCAGCAUGAUAUAUGUAGUUUUAUCUAUUUAACUUAAGGUUUUUCCAUGAGCUGCAGGAGGAGUUAUUGCUAGCAUAAUUUCACCCUAUACCUCAGCAGCUUGGGCACAGGAAGGUGGAGACCCGUGCCUGCCAGUUCCAUGGACAUGGGUGCACUGCAGCUCAGAUUCUCCUCCACUGAUAACUGCAGUGUAUAUGUCUACUUCUUGUGAUGUGCUUGUGUGAACACAUUUUCUUAUUCUAGGAGCAUGUCAACGCUGUAUGAACGACCGAGUUUUGAAGUUAUAAAUUGUAUUUCUGCAGCAAAUUGUCUGGUCAGAAUUUGACCGGAAACAUUCCUUCAGACAUUACAAAAUUGAGCGGCUUGGUUGAGCUGUAAGUUUAUGUAGAAAUUCCCUUUUCACUCGAUAGUAGUUGAUUUCUUUCCGAUGUCUAUGCUCGAACUUUUCAUGCCAAAUGUUGAAGUAUGCCUUGGCCUAUUUUCUGAAGGCGGCUCGAUGGGAAUGCACUCACUGGUUCAAUACCCGAUCUUUCUUCAUGCGUGAACCUGGAGAUCAUGUAAGGUCCAUGGAUUGUCCUCUUUGAAUGGACUUAGAUAAUUUAAUGCUGACGAAUCUCUUUUGUGAUAGUCAUCUUGAGAACAACCAAUUGACUGGUGAGCUGCCUUCUUCUCUCGCGACUCUGCCAAAGUUGAAGGAACUGUAAGUAUUCUUAAACUUACAUGAGGAUUUCUCAUUUACCAUGGCUACAAUUCAAAGAACUAGUGUAUCGUCCUUCUGAAUUUCACAUGUGGAUCUGACCGAUAUGUGAUUCUCAGGCCUCGAAUGAAGUAUUGAUAUAAUUGUUGAUUAGUGAACAGUUUUCUGUGAUGACUUUUGUGCUGUGUCUGAGUAAAAACCUUAUGCACAUGCUAAAUUUGAUGGCUGUAGGUACGUCCAGAAUAACAAGUUAUCAGGCACAGUGCCAUCUGGUCUUCUCAACAAAAAAUUGAAUCUGAAGUGGGUACAGCCUCUGAUAAGUCUUACUGCAAUGCUGAAUGCUCCUGCAAUCAUGCACACAUCACACUUUAUCUCAUUACAUUUAACUUAAAUCGAGUUAUUCUGUGUAUGUUGGCCUAAUUGCAAAGGGCCAACAAAAGCAAGGGAAACUUUUUAUUUUUGUUGGCAUGAUGCAGUAGAUAAUGCCAAAAUUAUGGCUGUUGGCCAGACCACACAAAACACUGUUACUUUGUCAUAAAAAUUAUCCAGUAUUUACUGUUGGCCUUAUUAAUUUGACUGAAAGGUUUCUCAGACGUGGGUAACAGACGUUUUGGAGCUCAGAUCCUUAUCUAGCUAAAAGUAUUAUGUGUCAUUCUGUAGCGUUGUGUUGGUAUUAGCCUUUUGAUCUGUGGAGAUCCUUCAUUCUGUCACCUGCUUUCAUUUUGUAGUUACCAGAUUAACUUUUGAUCAGUUGAUUAUGGCAAAGCAAACAGCUUGUUCUCUUGCUAAGCUUUUGGUGGUACUAUGCCUUCUAAUUGCUUCAAUCUAUGAUUGAAGCUGCCACAAUCUUUUGCAGAACAAUAUAAUCAUCAUUAUAUAAUUUAUACGUCUCUCAUAGUGAAAGGAUGUCUCUUAGAGAUCCAUAUUUUAGGAUUUUUAUUUUCAUAUCCAGAUUUUUAGGCGCAGUUUGUGUUUUGGCGCCAGAUGUGGGAUUACAGCACUACAGAUAGCUUCUACUGCCAAAUUAUCUCGAUGCUUUUUCACAUUUUCUUGAAAUCUUUCUUUUAACCCUGUAGAUAUUUAUAUCUGGACUUGGUUCAUCAUUCUUUACUGAGUUUUUACUUUUCCGUACUUUUUACCGCACCUGUAUCUUUGUCAAUUAUUUGCCAGUAGCUUCUUAACACUGUUCUCAACAGUUACACUGGAAAUAUGAAUCUUCAUGAAGGAGGGAAAAGUGGAAGCCAGACUAAGAUUAUCAUUGGUUCAUCAGUCGGAGCUGCUGUUCUCCUGGUAGCCACAAUUGCCUCCUGUCUCUUCAUACAGAAAGGAAAGAGGAAUUCUAAGCAUGGUAUGAGUUUGGAGCAAUCAAGAGAAUGACGUAUCCAUCUUGUUGUGUUGACCUCUCUAUUCUGCAAUAUUCUUAUUUUUUCGUGAAAUCUUUGCUAGAUGACAAUGUGCAAAUAUUGCCGACGCAGCGGCUAGUUUCUUCCUUGAGUAAUGCUCCUACAGAAGCUGCUCAUUGCUUUAUGCUAUCAGAAAUUGAAGAAGCUACAAACAGAUUUGAGAGAAAAAUUGGUUCUGGAGGAUUUGGAGUUGUCUUUUAUGGGAGACUGAUAGAUGGAAGAGAAAUUGCAGUCAAGGUUCUGACUAGUGAUUCCUAUCAAGGAAAGCGAGAGUUCUCAAAUGAGGUAAUUGUACCAAAUUUUGAACCCUUUAUGUUUAGGGAUGCUUAGUAGUCUCUGCCGGGAUCUGCCACAUGAAUUUGUCACGAGUUAAUGUGCUUUUCUUUACUCACAAGGAGUAAGCACAUGCUACUACUGGGAUCUUCUUGACUAAACUCAAAUCCCUAGGGGAGUGAGUAAUGAAAUAACUCCUUGUCUGUUUAAUGGGAAUUCAGUAUAUUUACCUUUUCUUGUCCUUAAAUUUUAGUAGCUGCAAAGUCUUUUGUGUUGAUGUUUCUGAAGCAUUUUUCUUUGAAUUACCAUCUGAAUAUCAUCCAACCCUUUGUCACUUAGAUUAAUUUUCAUGAAACUAGUACUCUGCACUGACAAAAUUGUCAUUAGCAUCAGUUAUCAGCUACAUCGUCUAACUAAUGCUGUAUGUGAUCUAGGUGACUCUUCUUUCAAGAAUACAUCACAGGAAUUUGGUACAAUUCCUUGGAUAUUGCCAAGAAGACGGGAAAAACAUGCUGGUUUACGAGUUCAUGCAUAAUGGAACUCUUAAAGAGCACCUAUAUGGUAAGCUCAUACGCUUUCGUCAUGCCGUGAGCCUCUGUUAUCAUGUGUCUAUAUUAAUUCCAUAUAUCUAUCUCUAAGGUCCAUUGCCUCAUGAGUGGAAUUUUAAUUGGAUCAAACGCCUUGAGAUUGCUGAAGAUGCUGCAAGAGGUCGGUAGUCCUCUAUAAACUGGUUUAAUUCCCCAUAGAAGUCAUUUUAGCUACCAAAGUUGGUAAUCUUAUUCAUUGUGUUCAGGGAUCGAGUACCUUCACACUGGAUGUGUUCCAGCCAUCAUACAUAGAGAUUUGAAAAGUAGCAACAUUCUUGUGGACAACAACUUGAGAGCAAAAGUUUCAGAUUUUGGUCUCUCAAAAUCUCAAGUUGAUGGAGUCUCCCAUGUCUCAAGUGUGGUUCGAGGAACUGUUGGGUAUCUGGACCCCGAGUAAGGCAUCUUUUUGGUCACGCCUUCUGUUUUUCAACAGAUAUAUAGUUUUUUGAAGUUGAAGCAAGUUAAUAUGGUGUCAUUAUGCCUUGAUGCAUUUUUUAUCUUUGAAUUGGGAAUACAUCACCUUGGGCAUGUUUUGAAAAAUCUGACUAGGCAAGCUUUGCACUUAUUCAUGAAUGUGUCUCGGCCUCCUCACUUUCCCUUCUGAGUGUUGACAAAAGCCUUCCUGCUUCUUUGAUAAUUAUAAGAUCUGUUGAGAAGCAUAUUCCAUGAAAUUGCAUUCUUUGUGCUAGCUCUACGCUCCACAUGUGAAGACUUUGUGUUUGUGUCUCGCCUUAUCAUUCUUCUGGGCUCAAUGCUCCUACUCUCACCCCAACGAGGAGAUGCAGUUGUCUCCACUUUGUACCUUGAGGCCAUUAGAAAAUGAUGUUCAUUGGCAAAUUGCAUUCGCAACUUAUCUAACACCACUCACCAAUGCAACUUCCAAGCCCAUAUGAGUUUGACUCAUACUCACUUAUGAAGCUGCUAUGUCAUUGAAGGAAACCUUAUUCUGUUAGUGUGGAUUGUUCCAGAGGGAAAAUGGUAGCAAACUAAUUGAUGCAAUCGUAUACUAUGUAAAUGCAUUGGCUGCUAAGCAGCCCCUUGUGCUAGAACUUCAGGCAUACAAUGUUAACUGGACUUUGAUUUUUAGAAUCAGACACUUUGUAUGUGUACUUUUAUAAGCAUAUGCAUGAAUUGGUACUCUUCCCUAAUUUUGUUGAUGCUUUUGCAUGUACAUUAUAUAGUUUAAUGAUAUAAGUGACUAGUUGGUUGUAGAAUUAUGUGGGUUUACAGCCAAUAGUUCUAAAAGCUUAAACUAAUCGAUAGAGGGAGCCCACAUGCAUAUAAGGCCCAUUGAUAUACCAUGGACAAGUAACGUGGGAUAUUUUAAUGUGGAAUUGACAAGGGGAGGGCCCCACACGUGGCAUAAACUGAGGUGAAAUUUGGCUCUAAUAUAAUGUUAAGUCCAACAUAAAACGCUUAAGUUGUUAGAAGAGAGCAUGGUUUAAUAUUUUUGUACUCUUAACACUCUCCCUUACAUGGUGGUUGGACUUUGACCUAAGACUUAAGCAUGAAAAUAUAUAAUCGGGGAGGUAAAUGGCGGCUACAAAAAUUUGAAUUCAGGACCUCUCAUUCUAAUACUAUGUAAAGCUUGAACUAUGAGAAAAUGGUAUAAUUUAAUUUAAUGGUUCUCUUCUUAUCUUUGUGGGAAUUUGACAGGUAUUACAUCUCCCAGCAAUUGACAGAUAAGAGUGAUGUCUAUAGUUUCGGCGUCAUUCUUCUUGAAUUGAUAUCAGGUCGAGAAGCAAUUUCUAACGAAAGCUUCGGUGUGAACUGUCGCAACAUAGUCCAGUGGGUAAGUCCAGUGUAAUAAGUACUAUGAAACCUUCAUUUUUAAUUUCAAAGCGAAAUCUGGCACGUGUAUGUUCCUUCACAUGUUGUACUCUCUAAUUAUAGGCGAGACUACACAUAGAGAGUGGGGACAUCCAAGGCAUCAUCGAUCCGAACCUACGUGAGGACUACGACAUCCAGUCGAUGUGGAAGAUAGCGGAGAAGGCUCUGAUGUGCGUCCAGCCCCACGGGCACAUGAGGCCAUCGAUCUCGGAGGUUCUCAAGGAGAUCCAAGACGCAUUGUUGAUCGAGAGAGAAGCCUUGGCGGCGCGAGAGGGCCUGUCGGAUCUGUCAAGGAACUCGUUCCACUCGUCUGUCAACAUGGAUGCCUUUGAUAUUCCUGGGACUGAGAACUACGUAGCGAUCGACGAGUCUAUUGCGCAGCCAACUGCUCGGUAGAGCUUCAUCUUCUCUUUCUUUUAAUUCCUUGUAAUAUUUCCUGUUCAUUCUUGGGAGCGGCUGGUGAUUGUAUUCCUUGUUGUCUGGGGUUAAGGUGAAGUAUCUGGUGAUCAUGAUUAGAAUUGCCUGCCUAGUUGAUCUACCCCGGUGAACCGUGGUGAGAUCUCUUUCUGUCGGUUGGUUAUAUCAAGAUAUGUGCUAGCUAGCCCAGUUGAUACGCUUGGUUAUAUAAAGAUAAGGGUUUAGCCCAGAACAUUUAAGUGGGAAUUGUUUUCUAUCACUCUUACUCGACGCCAUGGUUCGAGUAAUUAUAUCUGUGCAUUCUCUUGAUUCCAAUGCUGAAAGCAAAAUCCUGGUGGAAUGAUGAACUGCCACACCUGAUUGGAGUUGGGAUUAUUCGGGUAUUCAUAGUCUUUGCUGAUAAAAAGGGGAAAAAAUGAAUAUUGUGUCAGAUGGACUCCCAGGUUUUAAAAAUGAUGUUAAUAUGUAAUGACUCAUGUAAUAAAUUUAUAAUUCAUUAAGUGAUAUGAUAAAUUCUGUGGGUUGGCUUUCUGACGGAUGCUUUUGUCUUGUCAUUUAGUAAACCAAUUUCAUAAACAAGUCCUUCCGUCCCUAGCAUUUUGCUUUUGCUACGUGUUGGGUCCUAAUGAGCAAUGCUGGAGAUACAAAAAUUGCUCUGCUAGAUUGAUUUACUAAGUGGUGGCGCAAGUCUCUAAGUGGAUAUUAAAUUUAGUGGGCGUUGAAGCAUUUAAAUAUUAAAUUUUAUGCUCAUCUAGGGCCUAAGGUAAUGACCUCAGGUGGCAUGAUCCUGUUGACCCCAAAGUCGAGGUCGUGUGACCCCAGUAAGGGCCGCCCGUGCAACCUCAGUGAGGGGUGCCUAAGGUCGCAUGAGGUGGAAAUAGCGAGGGUAAACAUUAAAUUUCGAGAGUUUAUCAAGAGGAAAGUCGGAAGAAAAAAACUGAAUAGUAUUUCAUAAAUGCUUGAAGCCCAAAGCUUGGUAGAACUUGUAUUGAGCUAAGGGUCUUUAGAGAACUUUGAAAAUGCAAUCGCAUGUCUCCAAAACUAGCCAAAAAAAUUGUCAAACGCCAGUGGCGUAUGGUCGGGGGCCUUCAGAGCCCAAAACCUAAUUGUAAAGUACAACCAAAUGCAUUUUUUGUUGAAUCGUAAAGAGGGUGAAAUGAAUAAAGAAGGAAAAGAGGACGAAACCCUUUUUAAUGUUAUGUUGGGAAGAAAAGCAAAAGAGGAAAGAGAAGAAAGUGAGGGAAAAGAAAUUGGGCAUGGAGAGAAUACUUUGGCCUUCUGUUCUUGGAGAUAAAAAAUAUUGGUGGAUGAAAUAUGGAGAGUUUUCAAAAGGAGAAAGGUAAAAUAGGGUUUUAGGACCUUUUUAAUAUCCUAAGAUGUAAAUUUUGAAAAUUAUGCUCCCCAUGUUUUUGUCCUAGUCAUGCUUCCCAUCCUUUAAAUUUCUCUCUCUCUCUCUCCAUCUUCAAUUUACUCCCUCAAAAGGCAUUUGGCAAGAUCAAAGAAGUCGGAACUUUUUCUAUAAAAAUAUCUUUAAACUAGACAUAAAACAUGAAAAGCAAUAAAUUCCAGCGAUAUCAAAUGGGGAUAAUAUGUUUCGACCAAAAAAAAAAAGAAAUGGGGAUAAUACAAUCAUACUUAAGAUGUAAAUGUAUAAGAGGCAUUGAAUCCUCAAAGAACAUAAUUUACCAAGAAAGUUUGGUAUAGUCAUCACUUUUACUUCUCAUAUUUAAAGGAUUUCAAUUUUAAAAAAAAAUAAAAUGCAAUGAUAGUUUCCUAUCAACGAAAUCGAUCUAAAUGAGUAAACUUACUCAAUUGAAUCCCCAAGUGGAGUUCGUAAACAUUCGCAGUAUAAAUGGUUGGAUUACUCGAUUUUCAAAGCAUUUGUUGCACGUGUUAGAACAAAACUCAGUGACUAAAUGUUUCACAAAGAUCAUCUCUCUAGUUAUAUAAAAACCCAAAGGCAUCAAUUAAGAGAAAUCCUUCUGACAAAAUCCGACCAAUAAUUAAUGAGUUUAUCGGUAACCUUAGAAAAUGCGAAAAACGGUGUGAAUAUUAUAUGAAUCGCAUGCUUCGGAUGAAACAGAUCAACCAAUGAUGUGGCGAGAACAAGGGGACAGAAUAUACUCGACGUAGUCCAAGUCCAUCCCUCUUCCACUCGAGCAGUUCUUCCCUACACCUCGGCCUACGCGUUUAACUCCAUCUCAGCCUUAGAUGAAGCGGGUCGGAAGCGGGGCCCACAUGAUCUAACGAUUAAAAUCCAGUGGGCUCACGUGCAAGAACUCCGUCUCUCUCUGUCGUCAUCCUCUCCUGCUCCUCUCCUUCUUCGUCGUCCAGUCAUCGUCCUCUCGUCGUCAUCGUCGAAAUCGUCGUCAUUGUCGCAUCGCUCUCUCUCUCUCUCUCCCCUCGUCCUGCUCUUUUUCUGAGCAGAGCCGAGCAAGGAGAAAGCAGGGCUGCCGUCGUCUUGCCUCCCUAUCUCUCUCUGUCUCUCUGUCUCUCUAGAGAGAGCGUUACGCAUUGUGCCAGGCUCGAAGCAACAGGCGGCGACGGCUUCAUCUUCUACACUGCACGACUCUGCCCCUCUGUUUUCCCGUCCUCUUCUUUCAGCUGGGGGUUUAAAGGUGCUGUCUUGACGCGCGAGACGAGGUACGAUAUGGCGAUUGAUCUCUCUCUCUCUCUCUCUCUCUCUCUCUUUUUCUGGGCUCUUGGCUCGAUUGUUUAAUCUGAUUUCAGUGUUGAAAUCUUGUAGAUUGAUGAAUUUGAUGGAGGGGACCGGAAGGCAUCGUUGGACAUGACUGAGGAUGAAAUGGUGUGGAUGGAUAUACCGGACGAGAUAAAUUCAUGUCCAUGUAUUUGCUGACUUGUAUUUUGGUUUGGACCUCUAAUUCAAAUAAACGCGUGUGCAUUUUCAACGCGAUGCGCGAAAUCAGCGCCUGCUGAGUGAUUCUCACUUGUCGUCCGGCAGAGAGAAGCAGGAAUCGCAUGACUGCAAGUUCUGAACUUGAAACAGAAUACUGCAGAGAUAAAGGAGGACGGGAAUAGUCAUCUUUUGCCAUACAUGGAUUGUGUUAGUAAUGUGGGUGAGUGUAUGACAGCCGCACCCAUUUUGCAUUAUGAUGAUUUUAGGGAUGAAACGCGGAGGUAUGAAAGAUCGGCAGAAUCAGGUCGAGAGAUCAGUAUAUUGGAUCUUGUCUGGUGCAAAAUAAGGGCCCUUAUUGGUGGCCAGGGAAGCUAAUUGGUUGCUCUGCCGGAGUGACAAAGGAUUAUUUUGUGGUGGCAUGUUUUGGGGAUCAGGAACGUGCUCCUGAUCGAGUUUCGCUGAUAAAGCCAUUGUGGGAACAUUUCCCACUGAUGGAGAAGCAAAGCGGCUUGGACAAGCUCCGUCAUGCAGUGGACUGUGCUCUCGGCGAACUCUCUAGGUGGGUGGAAUACGUGCUGACUUGCCGGUGUGUGCCCAGGGAAGUGCAAACCAGGUUCGAAGCUCAGGGUGAAGCUAAUCUGCUUUGGUGAAAAAUUCAAGUCAACAGGGCACUGAAGAUAGUGUCCUGAGUACGGCUUCUUUUACACCUCGAGAACUUGUCAAGUAUAUAAAAAAAUGGGGUGUCUCGCCUUGUGAUGGACCUAGCAGACUCCUCUUUCCGUGGCAAAGAGUCAACUGUUGGCCUUCUCCCGAUGGAAGGCGUUUUCUCGGCUACCUGAAUUCAUAUCGUUCAGUGGGAAGUUGGAGAACGAGACCGAUAUGACUCCAUUAGGAGAUUGUUAUCAGAACCCUACAGAGAUUCAUGGCUCCAAUCCAGAGUUUUGGGGCUGUCAUGGGAUGCCAGUGGUGAAGACAGGAUGUUGCAUAAGCAACUUGAGUGAGCGUAAGAACAGUUUCCAAGACGGAGUGCAUCCUGGAAACAAGAGAAAGACCUGCCUUGCCUUGUGCACUGAGAACUGUCUGUGUACUUCAACCGAUGAAGUUGGGUCCGUCAAAAGAUCUCGUGGGAGCUCCUUUUUGUUUGGCAAAACAGCUGCUCCUAAUGAAUCAGUAUCACCAUGUACAGGUGCUCUGACGAAGAUUAGCACGGACCAAUCUGUGCACAUGUUCGAGCAAAAUCACAUGGGAAUGCUUGAGGUCCAGAGGAAAACAGAAUGUCACAUAAACAACUCAAAUGAGCUUAAGCACAUCCCGUUUAAUGUGGUGCGUCCUGGAAGAAAGAGGAAGAGCUUCCCAGCCCCGUCAGCAAAGAAUUGUCAGCAUAUCUCGACAGAUGAAGUUGGGACAGAUAAAGGAGCUUGUGGGAACUAGUUUGGCAAAGCCGCUGGUCUGAAUGAAUCAGUAUCAGCAUGUACAGGUGCUCCGACCACGAUUAGCGUGGACCAAUCCAUGCAGUUCAAGCAAAAUCAUAGAGCAAUGCGCAGAAUCCAUAAGGUUGCAAGUGAAUCGAAUGGGUCACUUUCAUUGGAGGAGCAUCUUAAAUAAAGUCCCUCAGGUAGGAGCAACAUUAACGCCCAUUCUGGUCUCAUUCCUCAUGAUUCCUGGAGUAGAAAACACCUCCUUGGAUAUGCCUCUCCUAAUCAGAAGCUGUUGCGGCUGUCUUUUUUCCGACUUGCGCAGUGAGACACUUUUCGGAAUUCAGAAAUUCGGUUGUUCCGGAUCAUCUCCCAUUGAAUUCGUGUGGAGAGUCUGCACAAGAAGCAUCUAUUGUUAAAAUUCAGAGUACUUUGACAAACUUUAGUGUCGCAGAACCUUUGGAUCUCAAGUGCUUCAAGGAUUCUGUCAGGACCAGCACAAUAAUUAGUAGCAUUCAGGAACCGCGACUGCCGCUUGAAAAUUGGAAUGCGGGGGAUUCUCUGCUUAAAACCCCUCGUGAGAGAGGCUGUUCCUUCCGUGGUACCUAAAAUGGAUAUGAAAUCCCUUACUAUAUGCUCAAUAUUGUAAGAGAGAGACAGAGAGAGGCAACGACAGGAGUGACCCUAAACAAAAGUGAUGAUCAAUGCUAGAACUAGCGGUGUUCAAGAUUGGUGAUUGCAUCGUGAUGGUGGAUAUUUUUAUUUUUGCCGAUUGAUGCGUCUCCUUUAAAAAGUAGAAAAUUACUCGUUAGAAAACAACGUGUCUUUUAACUAAUUCGUGACGUUAAUAUAAUGGGUAAGUGAGCAUACAUCGUUAGGACUUGGGUUACCUUAAUUUAGGUAAAGAAAAGGUAAAUAAAGGAGAGCGGGAACUUUUUACGAUUCAAUGUCAAAAGCAGAAAAAGAAAAGGAGACUUGGGUUACCUUAAUUUAGGUAAAGAAAAGGUAAAUAAAGGAGAGCGGGAACUUUUUACGAUUCAAUGUCAAAAGCAGAAAAAGAAAAGGAGACUUGUGACUUAUGUGCUCGAAUGGUGGGCCAGGUAAACGCUCGUUAUCCUGCUUUUAAAGACUUUUCUCCCAUAUUGGAAUCAUCUCCCCUACGCUUACGUUUGGGUGGUUAAAAUAAAAUUUAAGAUAUGAUAAAAUUUAUCCUAUCUUACAUUUAAUAUUUAUUUAAAAUAGAAUAAAGUCGGACAUAAAAUGAUAUAGGCCGGAUAAAAUUCUUCCAUAAGAAAUGUGAGAUUAAGGUAGAUAAAAUUUAUAUUAUCUAAAAUAGGAAAAGUUUUUUUGCUCAAAUAACAAACUUAUUAAAUUAACAAAUUUAAAAUUAUAUUUCAGUAUAAAUAAUAUUUAAAUUCUAAUAUAAUAAAUUCAAAAUAACAAUUUAUAUUUAAUUUAAUCUUAAUUUUAUUUACAUAUUUGAAUUUAAUUUUAUCUUAUAAAAUAAAUUCAAUAUAUAAAAUUCAUAUAUUUGUUACAUAUUUUAGGUGUUUUAGUAUUUUAGGUGUAUUAGUACAAUUUCUAUUUAAAAAAAUUAUUAGAGAAUGAUGGAAGGGAAAGAAAGAAAUAAAAAAAGAAAUUACUUAAAAAAUAAAGGAAAAUAAAAUAAAAAUAAAGUAAACAAAAGUGUCGCAAUAUACUUUUACCAUCUCUAUUUGUAAAAUUUGUGGUUCAUUUAUAUCGAUAUGUCAUUUACAGCAAUCAAUAUAUAUGAUAUGAUGUGACUAUAUCCAACUUUAUUAAUACAAUUACCAAACAAUUGAUGGGAUAUAACAAAAUUUCCUAGAUUUCAUAUCCUUCUAGUCUACUCCUAUCUUGUUUGGAAAUCCUAAAGACCAAACGUAACCCAAAGGGACAAACCCUUCUUAUCUAGAAUCAUCUUUUGGCUUUGAGUGUGGCAUUUGGAUUGGCUCCUAUCUUUUGUUUGGCAAAGAAUGCAUAAUGGGAUUCGGACGAAACAGGGACUAAUCUCAUCCGUUACUGAAAUAUUCAACUGAAGAUGCAUUAUCAAUUACUCAUUUGGUAAGCUCAUCACCACUGUCCCACUCGAUACAAGCGAAGAAACCUAAACAAACUCAACCCUCAUCUAUAUAGACUAACCAAGAUUUAUUGAGAUUAAGAUAGAUUGGUUUGAGACGUAUGGUAUUGAUGUGAAAUGGUAAAUUGUAGUCUACAUGGCUAGUUGCUUUCUUUUCUUCCGUAAUUUUUGGAAGAAAAAACUACUAUACUACUGGUAAUCUUACUUAUGAAUUCCCUCAAAAAUUAAAAGAUGAAAGAUAACUAUUCUAAUUUUCAAAAGAUUAAGAAAACAUCAUAAAAUAACAUGUUUACUUUUUGAAAGAUUUUAUGCAUAUUGCAUUAGAUAAAAGUUAAAACAUAUGAGUGGCAAAUUUUUCAAAGAGAUAAAAAAUAAAAUGUAGUAAUCAUCCUAAAUCAUAAAAAUUAGUUGUGUAAACGGGAUGGCAAAUGGACCUGUGAAGUCUGGUUUGUAUAAAAAAGAAAUUCAAAGGGAGAAACAAAAAAAAAAAAUGGACAAAUUGGGAGGUUGGUAUUUAAAAUUUCCAUUUCAACCAUCAGCUAACGUUUCUUCAUCUACGAAACAAAUGUUUGUAUAAUCUAAUAGAUUAUAUCUAUGAUAAAAAUUAGUGUGGAGAAUUGGCCAACGAAUAAUGCGUCAAUGACUAGAUUAUCAAGAAAGUAAAAAAAAAAAAAAUCAAAAAAGAGUGUCGCAAUAUCAUAAAAAAUAAACGAUAAAUUGAAAAGGCAAAUAAAAAAGAUAUAAAAUCUAGAAAUAAAAAUAGCCCCCACACAGAUGAUACAAAUCUGUAUUUGAUGGUUGGUGUGGCUAUAGGUUUCAUACAACUAUAAAUUGAUCCGAUGGAAAAGGUCUUAAAUAAAAAAUAAAUUAAAUUAAAUAAGAUAAGAGCGUUGCAUCGAGCUACAGGAUAGUCAAAAGUAAAUUUUUUUCUAAUGUACGAGUUAAUGUCAAAAGUGGAAACCCUGACUUCUAAUCCGGUUUAUUCAAGCAACCGAUCCCCGUGUGUUUUAUACCCUCGCUUUUGAAGUAAACGGUUUGACUGGGAAGUCAACCAUCUUGUCCUCGUCUACUUCAACACAAGUCCCGAUCGCCACUAUUGUCAAUAGUAAUUCUCGCAGAUGGAUGGAGGUCCCCCGCUUCGAGAAAAUAUUGGAUACGUUUAGUCCUCCAACCUCCAACGUGGCAAAUAAGAAGAGACCUCAAAUUGCGCCACGCGUCCAGCGUGCCCCACAUUGUCGGGGAAAUUUCCCCCAUUUUUCUCUCUCCUCUCUGCACUCUCCCCCCUCUGCACGGUUUCUCCCCAAUUUUCUCUCUCCCUCCUCUGCACACUCUCUCGCCCGAAUCUCUAUCUCCGAUCGCUUUUUUUUUUUUUUUUUUUUGUGGAUUUCUAUGUGUUUCCAAUCCGACCCAUUUUAGGCCGCUUUUGCCUUCACCGGCGCUAGGAAUCGGGGCUUCUUGGAGGGACGUGGGUUCUCCACCUCGUCGUCCACGUUGCCGGAGACUGCGAACCGGGGGGAGAACUCCGGGAGUGCCGGGGUGUUCAGAUUGAACUCGCGGUGCCCCUGGCUCUGCGUAUGAGUUGACCCCACGCCCUCCGAGACGCUCACCCUGUUGGCAGUCGAGGCGGCGGCGACGGCGGCUGAGGAGGCAGGAGUGGGGGCCUCAUAGUGGUACCUCGUGCCCACCGAGAGGUUGGCCUGUGGGGAAGCACAGAUCGAGAACUCGUGCACCUUCCCGGACAUACCGGAGGAGGUGGUCGUCGCGGAGGUGGAGCUGGCCGGCUGUUCGUCCGCACCGGCGAAGAGAAAGUGUGUUGGGAGGAGAGAGGAGAGAGAAAAGUGAGAAGAGUCGGGCGAGAGAGCGUGCAGAGGAGGGAAAGAGAAGAGAGAGGAGAGAGGAAGGUGGGGAGAAAUUCAUCGAGAGAGCGUGCAGAGUGGGGAGAGAGGAGAAGAAAAGUGGGGGAAAAUUUCCUGAUAAUGGGAGCCCACGCUGGACACGUGGUGCAAUUAAAAUUGCUUUCUUAUUUGCCGCGUUGGAGUACGAGACGUGCUCAAUAUUUUCCCCCCAAAAAGAUUAAACGAUGGCUGACGAAGAUCUCGUCUUGUUCCUAAGUUUCCUCCUCUCUCCGUAAGCGAGUCGUCGCCAAAGUCCAGCUUCCACACACUGUCGCCUCCAGUCCCACUUUCCGCGUGCACAGGCCACCACCACAGCUCCGUCUCUCCAGUUUUAUCACGACGAAGCUCGACAGGUGAAAGCAAUGAUGGAACGAGCAGAUUUGAAGCCUUUCUUGCGGUUUAUGGUGAUGGCGAUUUGUGGCCCGCUCUUUCUGUAAAUGGCAAGAAGCUGAGCAGUUCCUUCUUCUCCUCUCACGGGAUUAUUUUUGGGAACUCUCUGCUGGAACUACAGCUUCCGCCAUUACCAAACCUUCCCCUCUCUCUCUCCUGUAAAGCGACUCCUUUUCUUGGUCCUUCAAAAUAAAUAGAAAAAGGGCUUCGCUCCACUGGCCCUCUCUUUCUCCCUCUGUGUUCUUUUUUUAGUCCGAACGUUGCUGACACGUUCGGACUGGCUUUUCUCCGUUUCUUUCUUCUGGGCAAUCUUUCCUUUCCCUCUCCCUCUCUCUCUCUGGGACUCGCGGAGAAGACACGGAUAUGGGAAGAGGACUCUUCCUGUUCUUGCUCGUCUUCUACACUUCGGUUCUCAUGGAGCCCUCCACUGCUCAGAUGCCAGGUUCUCUCUCUCCGCCCCUGUUGAAUCUCCUGAUUGCCUUUACUUUGGUGAAAGCCAAAGAAUCUUGAAAUUAAGACGUGACGUGCCUUCAUCAUUUUAUAUUAAUUUGGUAUGACUGAGUAGUUUUGAGAAGUUCUUUGGGUGAUGAUCCUUACCCUUAGUUUUCGUUCUUCUGAAGGCUCCUCCUUUUGCUUGCUUAUUUCUGUUGUAAGAAUCACCUGUCGCUGUUUGCUUCCACGUGCAAAUUAUGCGGUUGCUCUGUUGAGGUUGAGCAUUCCUCCGUGCAUCUGCACGUGCAAUCUUGUGACUGCCGGUCGUUUCUGUGUUUAAUUUCAAUGCGUUUCUUCGUCCUCUGCUUGUACCGAAGAAAUUGUAGAACGAAUCGUUCCUGUGUAAACGAAAAUGUGUGGUCUUCCUGUCUUGUUAAAAAUUCUAUUUAGCAUCUAUGUGAAAGUUCAUAGCACAAUCUGUUAUAGACAGACGAAGGUGUUUUUAUUUUGAUGUUUUGAGUGAGUGAAUUGAAGAAUCAAAGACAUAUCAAGAUUGGUACCUCAUUGCCCCAGGUCAAUUUACUGGUAAUUUGAAUAGCCAGUGAUUGUUAUUUUUCUAAUAUAUGGACAUUAAGAGCAUCAUAACCUUUAUCAUACCCCUGUUAAUUUCAUGACAUAUUUCAGGUAAAGAAACGUUACACUUCUUUGAGACAAGAUUGCUGCUUUUUUGCAGUCCUUUGUUGAUGAGAUACAGAUUUCCCGCAUCUGCUUCACAAUUUGCUGAUACACAUCACUUUUUUGCGUUGGCCAACUGAUAUGCAUGAUUUCAUUCGGCAGGUUUUGUUAGCUUGGAUUGUGGAGGAUCUCAGAGUUUCACUGAUGAGAUUGGGCUUGAAUGGACUCCGGAUGACCAAUUCACCUUUGGAGAAAGAACUAACGUUUCUCUCACGAAUGAGACAAGAACACAAUAUACAACAUUGAGAUACUUCCCAGCCGAUGACAGAAAGUACUGUUACACUUUAAACGUGACCACUAGGACAAGAUACUUAAUAAGGGCGACAUUCUUG